GCCUCCUGGACGUGGCCAUUGACAUUAAUCUGUUUCUUCCUCAGUGUUUUUCCAGCCCUCUGCAACUCCCAUGUUUGGACUGGUCUUCUGGGGAUCAGUCAGGCCAGGGCACCACAGCUCCCAACACUCCAGGACAGUGCUACAAUAAAGCCUAAAGUUUACCCAUGGAAUGUUAAACAGAACUCUGCACAAGGCUCUUCAGCAGAGAUGAAGGUGUACAGAGGAAGAGACAAGCGGGAGAUUUCAAGGUUCAUGCCUGCUCAUGCUGGGAGAUAUUUCAUGUGUCAAGGUCAGGUUAAAUCAAUGACUUUCUGCCCUGGCCUUUCCUUAUUUCUAAAAUUCUUAUAUGUAUCACCACCUUUUUUGGAUUACAAAAUGUAAAUGGCACCAAAGAGUGUGACUGGUCUAAAACUAUGGCAGAUUUUCAGUGCUUAUCAGUUUGAGACCACAUCAACAAUCUUGGAGUCAAAACCUAAUUUAAACCUGGAAAUAGACAGGUAGCUUGAACUACUUCACUAAUUACAUAAGUAAAUUUGUGACACUGCUCAUGUGACUCAUUGUACAGACAGAUGUUCUUGCUUCCAGUGAAUCAACUCGGUGUUUGGAUCAUCUCAAAUCAUGCCGGAGAACAUGAUCAUCAGGUUUGACACAAACUUGUAGAGCUCAUGCAGCUUGAGUGAAGCCAAAUACUGAGACAUUUUGAAAUCAUUACUCAUUUUUAAUUUCAAAAUAUUGUGGAAGUAUUUUCGUAAAAACGUUGUGGAUUUCUGGACCCCACUGGAAUAUGCAUUAAAAUUAUGUGCAGUUUUCAGCUAUAUGCUUAUUAAUUAUUAUAGAUGUUAUGGUAAAUAUACAUACACCAUGGUUCAAUCACACUCACUGACUGCCAGAAAGCUGUACAGUAGAUCUCCAAAGGUUUGUGAGAGAUGACUCUUUGGGAAGAAAAUUGAGCCAGAAACCCAAUGGGGUCAAUUGUGCCAAUUUUAGAUGGAGGAGAUGACAGAAUUGUGGUGUCAGGUCAAAGAUUUUGACCUCAAUUCUAACAGCUGGCUGACCCCUUUGGGACCUGCCAUUGCUAGCAUAUGUGCACUAUACAGCAAUGAAAAAAGAAGUGCUGAUGUAGCAAAGAAAGUGAAAAUUAGAGAUAUCCUCUCUUAGGUAUUUAAUGAAUACCUUUUUGGGUGGUAGGCAAUAAUUUACAGUGCAAAGUCAGCCAUAUGACCGUCAUAUUGUAGUAGCAGAAUACUUAUCAUAACUGGAAAUGAAUUGCUCCUUAAUCAGCCUUACCAAGAGCACUGGACAUAUCAAUAUUUACAAAAUAAGCCUUCUAACUAAAACCUCUGCAUGACAACAGUCCAUAAAUCACUUGCUCUAUUCCUAAAACACUUUUCUCUCUGUCCCAGAAAAUUAUUUUAGGAACAAUCCCAAAAGGUCCUUAAAAUGGCGUAUUUUCUCAUCCAUCAUUUGGUCUGUAAAAAAGUUUUCUAUUUGAUCGACCACCUCGACAAGCUUGUUGAUUUGAGAUCAUGGAUUUAUUUAAAGCGGUAAACUUAUAAAUACUGAUAUUAAAUAAGACAGUGAUAAGAAGUGUGUGUAUGACGUCUUUGAUAAAAAUAAAACUUCUACAAAAGUUUGUGUUCUACA
Molecule: long non-coding RNA, 1644 nt
Organism: Cyprinus carpio (common carp)
Lineage: Eukaryota; Metazoa; Chordata; Actinopteri; Cypriniformes; Cyprinidae
Source: Ensembl